CAGCAGCUGCGGGAAUACGGAGGGUGCAAGCGUUAAUCGGAAUUACUGGGCGUAAAGCGCACGCAGGCGGUCUGACAAGUCAGAUGUGAAAUCCCCGGGCUUAACCUGGGAACUGCAUUUGAAACUGUCAGGCUGGAGUCUUGUAGAGGGGGGUAGAAUUCCAGGUGUAGCGGUGAAAUGCGUAGAGAUCUGGAGGAAUACCGGUGGCGAAGGCGGCCCCCUGGACAAAGACUGACGCUCAGGUGCGAAAGCGUGGGGAGCAAACAGGAUUAGAUACCCCGGUAGUCCCUGUCUCUUAUAC
This 301-nucleotide ribosomal RNA is filed under the name uncultured bacterium. Its description in RNAcentral is "partial 16S ribosomal RNA". It matches the Rfam family "Bacterial small subunit ribosomal RNA", at positions 509 to 807 of the family's 1533-position model. The record is from RNAcentral.